GGUUAUCUUUAGAUAUUUAAUCUUUCCUAAUUCAAUAUCUGUUCGGAUAUUUUGCUACUUGGGUUCGGGUUUGGAUAUGGGGUAAAAUGCGGACCCUAGAAGAAGCCAUGAAAAGGUUUUUCUAUUGCAGCUUUUCCCUGUGAUUAUUAAAGCCCCCUUUUUGUAUCACAACUCAGAAGUCGUCCCCAAAUAGCAGCUCCGACUGUUAGAUUCAGAAGAUUCUCCGGCGAACUAACACUCCGGUGGAGCUUAGAGAGAUGCUUCUAAUUCGAGCUAGCUUCUAAUAGGUCCUUCUCUCUCGCUCUCACUUUCCGAUUAUACUCUCUGCUCUCUGCUCUCUCUCUUAAUGUGCAGAUUAGCUUCUCAUAGAUUCGUAACCCAUAGCUGAUGAAUUUGAUUCACGAAUUUACUCAAAAGUUUUUCAUAUAGGAAAUGCAGAUCCAGUGAGCCCUUAAGGAAAGGCAAGGGGACAGCUUUAUCUAUGAGAAGACUCGUUCCUGUAGAAAUGUCCAAAGAGGUUGAAAACACCGAAGAAAGCUUGACGGGGACGUGACGGUGGUACUGAUCGAGCAUCCAUAUGGAGUAGAUGAUGAUGGAAACACCGAAGAAAGCUUGGACGAAAUUGAGGAUCUUGAGUGUUGAAGCGAACGAAAGAUGGCAGCAAUUAUGCCUCAUUUCUUUCUUCCUCAGACUCAGAGAUGAUUGAUUGAUUGAUUGAUGGAAAAGCUUUUUUCAAAGGUCGUCCCAGUGUCUGUCUCCUUCCCUUUUUUGAAAAUAUUUCUUUUUUUUUUAUUUUCAAUUAGUCACGGUCUGAUGAUGUGUUGUGGCCUUAUUUGCUAUUCGUUUAGCUCUUAUCUGCUGACUUGUCUUGUUGGAUUUUUUUUUUUUAAAGUGUUAAUGGUUUUCAUGAUUAUUAUGUCUUAUUAUACAUAAAUUUUGUUUUUUGAAAGUUAUUUGAAAAUAAAAUCGACAAUUUAUGUAAGGUAUUUUGGAAAUAAAAUUGACAAUUUUUGAACAGUUAAUGAUUUUUGAAGAUGUAUUGAUUUAGUUAAUAAUUAAUUUAACAUUAAUUGUUCGAAGAGAAUAUUUUAAAUAUUUGUUUUUAUAUAAAGUAAUUUACAUUCCGAAAAAAUAUAAAAAAAAUUUCAUUAAAAUAUUUUUGAACUCUGUAUUUGUAUCAAAAAAAAAGAUUGUAAAAUACUAUUGUCUGUAUAAAUAUAUUUUAGUAUUUGUGUUUUGUUACAAGUGAUAUAAUUGACCCCAGAGAAAACCCAAUUAUUACAGUAACCUGAGCUAUACUAAUCGGCCCAUUAUGAAAAGAGCCCAUAACAACCAGAGAGAAUCUUCUCUAUUAAAAGAGAAGUACCAUUUUUAUCUAUUAUUUAGAAGUUUACUAGGACAAUUUCAUUAAUUACAUAAUAUAACAUAAUAAUUAAUAAGAAUAUUAAUAAUAAAUUAAUUUUAACUAUAGAUUUGAAUUUUAUUUUUAGUUAAAACAAAAUAUGUUGAAAAAAAUCUAACAAAAUUCUACUUAAUUUUUAAAUAAUUUUUAUUAAAUAUUAUAUUAAUUAAUUUCGUAAUUAAGUAAUAUAAUGCUUUCAUUUAAAUAAAUUAUCAUCUACCACUAAAACAGGUUCAAAUUUGUUAAUCAUGUCAUAUAUUUUUAUACAAAUGAAGUUAUUAACAUAUGUUAAAAAUUUAUUUCUACAACUAUAUAUUUUCAAAAAUCAUAUGUUGAAGAAUAUUUUUUAUUUAAUUAUUUUAAAUUAUGAAAACUCGAAAACGUAAUAAAAAAGGUAAAAUGUAUAAAACAAACCCCUAUAUUAAUAAAGUAAUAAGCAACCUAAAUAAUAAAAUUAAAGAGUUGUAAAAUACAUAACACUAAGAUAUAAAUUGUAUAUUUAAAUUUCUAUAAUAAUAUCAAAAUUAAAUUUUUUUUUUUUUUUGUUCACAAACCAAAAUUAAAUAUUUAUAAAAUGAAAAUAUAGGGAUAAACUCUAGUUACUUUUACAAUCCUUCUUCCUUGGCCUUUCGAACAAAGAGCGAGAGCAGCUGCAACGGGAGAAUUGGAGUUUGAGUAGCGAUAAGCAAUCGAGAAUGUCGAAAGCUCCUCCAUCUCUCGCGUUUCUCUGCAUCCAAUCCCUCAAGCUUCAGCUUCUACAAGGUCACGAUACUAGAGAGAUAGAGAGAGAGAUUCGAACAAUUUGUUGCGCCAAUUUGAUACUGAUUUGUUGCUUUGUGUAUUCUCAGGCGACAAUCCAAUUCCUGAUGUAUACGAGCUUCCGUCUGAGUUGCUUGAUGGUGUUAUCGCUCACUUGCCUGCACUAGCGCUGCAUAAUUUCCAGACCCACAUGUGAGUGAAACCGAUUCUAGAGUUUUUGUAAUCAGUUUCUGAAGAUUUAGGGUUUUGAAUUGGAUGGAUGAAGAUGAAUUGAAUUGAAUUGAAUUGGUAUAGGCCGUUCAAGUGCUGGGAUAAUUAUGAAGCUGGUGAUGAUUGCUUGACUAGUGGGAGAAAACGCCCAAGGUUUGAUCAAUUACGUUUUGUUGUUAUUUCAACUAAGAAGACAGAACUGAGAAAUUAUUUAAACUGCAGAAAUGAUAUACUCGGUAGCUCAUGGAAGCUGCUGUUUAAGGUGCGGUGGCCUGAGCUCGUUAACAGUGUGGAACCAUCAGCUGACUGGCAACAGCUUUACUGGGAGAAGCAUCUUCAAAAGUAUGACACGGCCCUUUGAUUUGUUGUUUUACUCUGUUUUCUUCCUGUUUUGAGUUUUGCUGUUAAUCCGAGUAACAGUUGUGUUGAUGAAGCAGCUGAGGUAGCUAUGCGUCCCACAUUCAGUGGUCGGAUAAGUUCCAUUCAUGUAUCAGGUAAGUUUUCUUGUCUUGAGGUUUUAUUCGUCAGUUGUGUGAGAAUCUUUAUUCAGUUGGUUUUAUUUUGUGUUGCAGAUAAGAUAUUGAGAUACAUUUGUCAUGAAGAGCACACCAAUUGUCAAAAAUGUGUCUGUACGGAGCUAUCUUUUCAUUUCCAGACAUUUGGACCGUAUCUUAGGUUUAGUAACAUUUCAUGAUUACGGGCAAACUGCAGUACUUUCAGCUCUGAGUUCUUUAUGUUUGUUUCUUACCUUUUGCAGGUGCCUGAGGCUUCUGAAUGUGCUCUGCGUUACGGAAACUUGUGUAAGUAACUAAAAUAUGCUCUUAGGUUUUCAAUAGAGGCAUCUUUGCUUUCUUUUUAUCUCAGUAUCACUGGCUGAGAAGGUAUGUUAAAUUGUUUUCUGUGAUUACUUUUUCUCUAGGAACUUCAAAUUUGUACUUUUGUAGAUGAAUCAAUCAUUUAACCUUAUUAACAAAGGACAUGAAUAAUGUUUAGGCUUUGUUACUGUAGGAGCUACUGAGGACAAGUAAAUUAAAAACUUUGGUUCUGGGUUGGAUCAGAUCCGAGAAACAUGUAAGGAAAAUUCACUACUCAAGUCUCUAUUAUUGAGUUAGCUAGACUGGAACCAUAUUGCUGAUGAUCCAUGAUUCGACAGGUUGAGCCCUCGUGCAAACUCUUGAGCCAGAACCGAGAAACAUUAACUUCGCUUGAAUUUAUUCACUGUAAACUUUCUUCGAGUUUCAUCAGUGCAAUCUGCGCUUCUCUGCAUGAAAAAGACAUUCACACAAGUGGGAUUCAGCGUUUUUAUAUAAAGGCAUCUAGCUUUGACAUAGAUUCACUUGCUGCGCCUCCCGCUUUCAUUUCAUUCCUGAAUUCGGUGAGGUAUUCAUAUGAACUGAUGCCAGAGCGUGUCUCUGUGAAAUGUUUGCUCAUCUGGCUGUCAAAGUCUAUGUUCUUGAUUAACUUUCUCGUUUCUUUAUGCAUCUUUUCUUUCUUCUAUUUUUUGUAAGUGACCAACUUUUUUUUGCUUUCAGGUCCUUACAGUCCGUACAUUUUUGCGAUAGCCACCUCGAUAGGCAUAUCGCAAGGAUGAUUUUCUCUACGCUACUUGAUUCUUCCUCAGGUCUUUCGACUCUUGACAUCUCUGAAAACAACGUGGGUACCAUCAUGGUUCUUCUUUUUCGAACUGAUACAUGGUUUGCUUUUCAUGGCUGACCAACGCGCAAUAUAUAGAUUUCAGGAUGGCUUUCUACUUUCACCUGGAGAUCUGUCACUGGUUCUCUGUCAUCUGGAAAGUCUUUACGUUCGCUGUGCAAGCUCAACUUAAGGUAUUUCUUAGUCUAGCGACAGUUGACACGGUUUUAAGCCUUGAAACCUUGUGAAACUGUUUGAAAAAUGUAUCCAGCGGGAAUGAACUCAACAAAUACGAUGCAGAGAAUCUUUCGCAUGCUCUUCGUCAUAUGCCUGGCUUGGAAUCUCUUGACCUGAGCGGGAACCCCAUUGAAGACAGUGGGAUCAGGUUCGUCUUACAAGUUCUUGCAUUUGUAAUCUUGGAGAAAACCAACAAGAGUUACAUUUCAUUUAUAUGGUUUUCGUGAGGUACAGAAGCUUGAUAUCUUACUUCAAAAAGAAUCCGGAUUCUCCUUUAGCUGAUUUGAACUUGGAGAACUGUGAGCUAUCAUGUUGUGGAGUUAUCGAGUUUCUUGAUACCCUGUCAACGGUGGAGAAACCUUUAAAGUUCCUGUCUGUUGCAGAUAAUGCCCUCGGGAGGUAUUUGCAUAAUCACAAACUCUAUAUCACUUUACACCGAUAUGAAGUGUGUCUUCUUAUUUUAUUCUUCUUGUUCUUCAGCGAGGUUGCGGAGGCUAUAAUGAACUCAUUGAUUCUCUCCAUCGAGUCUCUCGACAUUUCGAGUAUAGGACUAGGUCCUGUUGGGUUUCUUGAGCUAGGCAAAAGACUUGUAAAAGGGGUGAAGAAGCUGAUGAGUAUCAAUAUAAGGUUCAAAGCAAAUUUCAUCUCCUCUGUUUCGUGUAUACAUUACAUUGCUUCGCCUUCUGUUUUCCUCAUGUUCUUCUUGUGGUCUCUUCCCGAUAAAGCAAAAACCGUGGAGGACUAGAGACCGCUAGAUUUCUGUCAAAGCUCAUACCCUUGGCACCAAAACUCGUCUCAGUCGACGCAUCCUACAAUCUUAUGCCACCCGAAUCUUUGCUCAUGCUAUGCGAUUCCCUGAGAAGUGCAAAAGGUUAAUAUAACUUUCUGGAACCGGUUUGAUUCUUGAGACACUUUGGUGAUUUGAGUGUAACUAUGUGUAUGAUGAUUUUGUUUCAGGUGAUCUCAAACGUCUUGACAUGACGGGGAAUAUCUGCAUCAGCAGCGAAACUGACCAUUCUUCUCUACUUGGUGAAUUUCAACACAAUGGGGAGCCCAUCUUCGUUUUACCAUCAUCCUCGACUUCACACGUCCCUUACGAUGAUGAGCCGUAGAUAGUUCUUUCUAUACCGAUUAGUUUUGCUGUUUGGCCUUUGGUCGGGUUCUCUGGUGAAUUCAUUGGUUUGGUAGGGAUGGUAAUAUGGCUGUGUUUGGCUCCAUUUUUCUUCUUCUAAAUCUAUCAAAGUGGAUCAUCAAGUUUAUGGAAGAGUAUAUGAAGAUAUAAACAUUUCACUGUGGUUAUAUUCAUUAAGGAGGGUCAUUGUAAUCUUUUGACGUGGCAAAAAAAUCAUUCUUUUCACAGUGCUAGAGCCUAGAUGGUUGGUAAUGAGUUUUGGUGUAAGAUUCCUUUGGUUAACAAAUAAUUAAGAUUUUAUUAUGCAAACAUAACUAAGGUUUACCAAACAAAAUAUAAAGCGUCGUGGCUCUAUCUAAAUCAUCAUUGCUUUUCUAUAACUUAUCCACAUACGACCGACGUUUUGUUCUACUCCAUGUGAUCAGGUGGGUGGUCAAUCUAAAUUUAGUUUCAUAAUAAGAAAUUGAUCAGAUCAUUAUUCUGACGUAUUUAUUUAUUAUUAUGUACUCUCAAUGACUAAUUUGAUUAUACUUUAUUUGGAUUUAUUCAAGUUUUGUUAGGUUGGUGAUAGACAUGAAUAUUUGUUUCUAGUUUAAUGUUAUUUAAUACUCAAUAAACUUAACCUUAAUGAGACGCUUAAACACCAAACUUUUGUCCAGUUUUGGUGUCUUAAAAAUUUAUGUGUUUGGAUUGAUUCAACUAUCAACAUAGUAUAUACAUUUGGAAUUAAAAAAAAAAUUUGUUUGUCAUAAAAUAAUCGAAACCGCCAUCGUCAAAUAUAAAAUGCAUUUGAAUUUUGUUAUCAAGUGUUAGGUUCAAUUUGGAUCAAACCGAUUUAUCCAUUUUAAACACAUACAUUUAGAAAAAUAUUCGACAAUGAAGUGAUUAAUUGGCAAAGAAGUUAACAAUUACAGGCAUUUUCUAAUUAACUUCAUUUCUUUAUUGCGAGUUCGGUUCAAAUGUCUUGUUACUAACCUAACGGAUUGAACCGGGGGUUAAGUUCGGACCAUAAAAAUUAGACAUGGACGUUAGGUCUUCCGAUCGGUUUUUUUCGGGUCUGGAUAUUUCGGAUCUUAGACAUUUGGAUCUAGUAGGUAUUUGUGAAUUUUCGGUUCGUGUUCAGAUCAGUUGUUCUCAGAUUCGGAUCGGUUCGAGUCUAUAAUUAAAAUACUCGUAAAAUACUUGUAUUUUUUCGGAUCUGUAUCGGAUCCUGAUCAGAUUCAUGUAUUUAAGAUCUUAAAAAAAAUGAAAUACCCAAAAUCCAUCAAAUUUAGUCAAUAUUUGUUAAUAUAUCUAAAAUUUUACAAAAUAACUUAAAUUAAACUAUUAAUAAUUAAAAUAAAUAUUUUUAAAUUCUAAAUUUUACAUUUUAAAGCUUUAUAUUACUGAAAAUGUUACAAAAUAAUAACAAAUAUUGAUAACAAAAAUAUUUCAACUAAAUCAUAAAAUAUAGUAUAUAUAAAAUAAAACACAAAAAAUUUAUAGUUUUGGAUGUAAAAGGUUUUUAAGUCGGGUACAAAUCGGUUCUUAUCGGAUCGAGUCGGUUCUUUUCGGGUUUGGAUCUAUUCUUUUCUGUUAUGGUUCUUUCAGGUAAAAAUAUUUUGGACCCAAAAGGUACUUAUAAAAUUUUGGUUCGGUUUCGAGUCUGAUAUUUUUAAAUCGUUUCCGGUUCAGAUUUUCGGGUCGAGGUUAAAAUGCCCUUGCUCUAAUAAAAAUAAUGAUAAUACAGCUACUAUUAUGGCAUAUCAGUGUAAAUAAUAAAAAGAAGAAGGGGCAAGUUCCCAAAUGGGUAAGCCAACCAUACGGUUUCGUUUUUAUGGUCCUCAAAUCAAAUGACUACUUGUUAAGUCUUAACUAGAGUCACCUUUACUCUUCCUCGGCUCUCUCUCUCUCUCUUUCUUUGUAAAAAUAAUUAAGCCGCACUUCUCCUCUAAAUCUCUUCCUCGGCUCUCUCUCUCUACACUUACCACGUUCCACACGCGCACACGCACGCUCUCUCUUUCUCCGUUCAUCGAAUCCCUCCUUCAAUUAGGUGUGUGUUGAUUGGGGAAUAAGCAGAUCUGAAGGGAGGAGAGGCAGAUCGGGAGUGGUUAGGUCAUCAUGGAGGAAGCUCUCGAAAUGGCGCGAGCCAAGGACACCAAGGAGCGCAUGGCGGCUGUGGAGCGUCUCCACCAGCUUCUCGAAGCUUCUAGGAAGAGCCUGAGUCCGUCGGAAGUGACGUCACUUGUUGAUUCCUGUUUGGAUCUCCUCAAGGACAGCAAUUUCAGAGUCUCUCAAGGUGCGCUUCAGGCGCUCGCUUCCGCCGCCGUGCUCGCCGGCGAGCAUCUGAAGCUUCACUUGAACGCGCUUGUCCCUGCCGUAGUGGAGCGGCUUGGAGACAGCAAGCAACCGGUUAGGGAUGCGGCGAGGCGUUUGUUGACAACUCUCAUGGAGGUCAAAAAUAGUUUUAUUUCUCUCUUUCUCCUUUGCCAUUGACAAGUGUGAUGUAACAGUUUCUAUCUUUUCUUUGUUUGGUAGGUUUCAUCUCCGACGAUUAUAGUGGAAAGAGCUGGUUCGUAUGGUUGGCUGCAUAAGAGUUGGAGAGUUAGGGAAGAGUUUGCGCGAACUGUCACGUCGGCCAUUGGUCUCUUUGCAUCUACUGAGCUCCCUCUUCAGCGUGUUAUUCUUGCUCCGGUAUAAAGGAAUCAACAUUGUUUUUGCUUGUAUUGAUUGGCUAUUAUUCUCAAUUCUAAUUCAGAUAGUUUUUUUCUUAUUGAACAGAUACUUCAGAUGUUAAAUGAUCCGAAUCAAGCAGUCAGGGAAGCUGCAAUUCUCUGCAUUGAGGUAAAGUUUUUAACUUGUGUGAGUAUCGAAUUUCAUCAAUUUAGUUUGUGGACAUCUCUGUCUAUUUGUGUUGGAGAAUUCAAAGUUCAGAUGCUUUGUCUCGUUUUGGCCUUUAAUAUCAUUCUUCUGCUUUCUCUCAGGAGAUGUACAUGCAGGGUGGGAAUCAAUUUCGGGAAGAGCUUCAGCGCCACCAUCUUCCAUCAUAUAUGGUAAAUCUCAGAUUCAGAGCCUGCACAUUGCAUAUCACUAUACUUUGAUGAGGAAUACUAGAAUUGCAGUUUGCUAAAACUUCUUCCCUUUUUUGAAUCAGGUGAAGGAUAUUAAUGCUAGACUGGAACGUAUUGAGCCACAGCAGCGUUCUACAGAUAGCCGUAGUAGCCACCAUGCUGCUGUUAAUGAAGUUAAGGCUUCAAGUGUCAAUCCCAAGAAGAGCAGUCCAAAGGCAAAGAUUUCCACAAGAGAGAACUCGUUAUUUGGAGGUUAAGAUCUUUAACUCAAGGAUUAAAGUCUAAAAAUUGGCCUUCUUUUACUUUGUCUGAUUUGUUUUGUAUCUGUGCAUUUCAGGAGAUCCUGACAUCACUGAAAAACCCAUCGAGCCAAUCAAUGUGUACUCAGAGAAGGAGCUGAUACGAGAAUUUGAGAAAAUUGCUUCAACACUUGUCCCAGAGAAAGACUGGUCAAUGCGUAUUUCAGCUAUGCGGAGGGUUGAAGGACUUGUUGCGGGAGGUACUUAAUCAACUUUUUUUAUACUUAAUCCUUCACAUUUUCUGUUAGUCAGUGGAGGAAUUUUCCUGUGUCACAUCUCAUGAAUUUUUUCUCUGUUGAAGGUGCGACUGAUUACUCUUGUUUUCGAGGUCUCCUGAAGCAACUUAUUGGUCCCUUAAGUACACAGUUAUCUGACCGAAGGUCUACCAUUGUUAAGCAGGUUUGAUAAAUUGUCGAUUUGAUAUUUUAUUAUUAAGAUUCAGAGUGCGUUGUGAUUCUUCUUUCCUAUGGAGACAAAUUGAUUAGUUGGCAUGUCGUGAGGAGUGCUAUUUUCAUUAGUUUAUGGGAACUCAUUUCUUUUCUGUGGCCGGUGCCAUCUUUGUAUAGUUUUUAUUCAUUUUUGCAAGAAUAAUACAGUUUGCUAAGUUCAGUAGAUUAAGACGGCCUUAUAUUAUAUAGUUUUGUUUUUCUAUCAUUGCGUUUCCUUCAUAUGCUGUUUCUCGUGUACAUAGGCUUGCCAUCUCUUGUGUCUCUUAUCAAAAGAGCUACUGGGCGAUUUUGAAUCAUGCGCUGAGAUUUUUAUUCCAGUAAGCUGAAACCCUUUUAAUCUACUGUUAUGACAUUAAAUGCAUAGACAUUCACGUUAAUAUUGUUAUAUGGUAACCAGGUGCUUUUCAAGCUGGUUGUGAUCACUGUGCUUGUUAUCGCCGAAUCUGCGGAUAACUGCAUAAAAACGGUAAAUAAUUAGCUAUUCUGAUCUUGUCUUCUAGAAGAUUUGUCUGCUCUUCUAAUUGUUGCGCUAACACAUAUGCUUUCUUGCUAUUCCAGAUGCUGCGUAACUGCAAAGCUGCUCGUGUACUUCCUCGCAUAGCUGAGGCAGCAAAACAUGACCGUAAUGCAGUUUUGCGAGCAAGGUAUGCUACGGCCUUCGUAUCAAUCAUAAGAUUUUUGAUUUCAUGGAAGCUGAUCCCAGUUUUUUAUACAGGUGUUGUGAAUAUGCACUGUUAACACUCGAACAUUGGCCUGAUGCUCCAGAAAUUCAGCGGUCAGUUGAUUUAUACGAGGAUCUGAUUAGAUGCUGUGUUGCAGAUGCUAUGAGUGAGGUAGGUCCCUUGUUUCAUCUGUGUGGGAGGGCAGUCAUUAGGAUACAAUGCAACUUGGAUAUACAUUUGCAUUAGUAGUAUUAAAUGAUUGAAUUUCUUGUACUGCCCAUCUAUUAUUCUCCCAUGUAAAGGUGGUAUUUUUUGAAUAACAGGUACGGGCAACGGCUAGAAUGUGCUACAGACUUUUUGCAAAAACUUGGCCGGAUCGUUCUCGUCGUUUAUUUUCCUCCUUUGACCCUGUCAUUCAAAGGGUAAGGCUUCUCAUCUCUAUAUUUCUGCUUAUUAGCAUUGAUGAGACUUAGUAAUGCAUUCCAUAUGUUUUCAGCUAAUAAAUGAAGAAGAAGGUGGAAGUCAUAGGAGACAUGCCUCACCUUCUGUCCGUGAGAGACACUCCCAGCCUUCAUUUUCUCAGACGUCUGCUCCAUCUAAUUUACCUGGCUAUGGGACAUCAGCCAUAGUCGCUAUGGAUAGAAGUUCAAAUUUAUCCUCAGGAGGAUCUCUUUCUUCUGGGCUACUCUUAUCCCAGUCAAAGGAUCUCAAUAAAGGUUCUGAACGUAGUCUAGAAAGCGUGUUACAAUCAAGCAAGCAGAAGGUCAGUGCAAUUGAAAGUAUGCUCCGAGGACUGCAUGUAUCGGAUAGACAGAAUCCAGCAGCUCUUCGUUCCAGUAGUUUGGAUCUAGGUAUUGAGCUUCUUUCCUUGUGAGAGUACAUCUUGUUUUCGAAACGUUCUCAGACACGAGCGAAAACAUUCUAGCGCAGCUAAAUUUUCUUUUUAUCCCCUAGUGCAGGAGUUGACCCUCCAUCGUCUCGUGAUCCUCCAUUCCGUGCUUCCGUUCCAGCAUCCAAUACUCUCACAAAUAAAACAACUGCUGAAUCAAUGCCUAGUAUUAACAGAGUCAGUAAUCGCAGUGGUGGCCUUGGUUUGUCAGAUAUCAUCACCCAGAUACAAGCUUCAAAGGACUCAGGAAGACAAUCACACCGUAGCAAUUUGUUGUCCGAGUCUCAUCCUAGCUUUUCAUCCUUGACAGCUAAAAGGGUCUCAGAGAGAAACGAGAGAAGUUCUUUUGAGGACAACAACGAUGCCAGGCGGUUUAUGGUGGGUCAUUUAGACAGACAGCAGAUGGAUAACGCUUAUAGAGAUUCAACAUUCAGGGAUUCAAACGCUAGUCAUGUUCCCAAUUUCCAGAGGCCACUUUUGAGGAAAAAUGUUGGGGGAAGAUUGUCGGCAGGCAGGACGAGGAGUUUUGAUGAUAGCCAACUCCAAGUUGGUGACAUGUCAAAUUAUGUUGAUGGUCCAGCGUCUCUGAACGAGGCCCUUAACGAUGGACUGAAUUCAAGUUCUGAUUGGUGUGCCAGAGUUGCAGCAUUUAAUUUUCUCCAAACUUUACUGCAACAAGGCGCGAAAGGUGCUCAAGAGGUGAUCCAGAAUUUUGAGAAAGUAAUGAAACUAUUUCUCCGGCAUUUGGAUGAUCCUCACCACAAGGUUGCACAAGCAGCACUGUCGACACUCGCGGAUCUUAUACCAUCUUGCCGAAAGCCUUUUGAGAGCUACAUGGAACGAGUCUUACCCCAUGUGUUUUCAAGGCUAAUCGAUCCUAAAGAGGUAGUUAGACAACCUUGCUCGUCUACCCUGGAUAUUGUCAGCAAAACCUAUAGCGUAGAUUCGCUUUUACCUGCGUUGCUUCGUUCACUGGAUGAGCAGAGAUCACCGAAGGCUAAAUUAGCCGUGAUCGAAUUUGCCAUCAACUCCUUCAACAGGUACGCUGGCAACCCUGAAAUUUCGGGUAAUAGUGGCAUCCUGAAGCUUUGGCUGGCAAAGUUGACACCAUUAACCCGCGACAAGAAUACCAAGUUAAAAGAAGCUUCCAUCACUUGUAUCAUAUCUGUUUACAAUCACUAUGAUUCUGCUGGACUUCUAAAUUACAUUCUUAGUUUGUCGGUUGAGGAGCAAAACUCCUUGAGAAGAUCCCUCAAACAGUAUACUCCCCGCAUCGAGGUGGACCUAUUAAAUUAUAUGCAGAGUAAGAAGGAGAAACUGAGAGUAAAGUCUUAUGACCCAUCUGAUGCCAUUGGAACAUCAUCUGAAGAAGGAUAUCCAGGUGCUUCCAAGAAGAACAUAUUCCUUGGCAGGUACUCUGGGGGUUCCGUCGACAGUGAUAGUGGUAGGAAGUGGAGUUCUUCCCAGGAGCCAACAACGGUCACUGGCGGUGGUGUUGGUCAAAGUGUUUACAGUGGAACUCAGGAAAAGCUGUAUCACAACUUCAGAAGCGGGAUAAGUUCUGCUAGUGAUGGGUUGAACCAAAAGGAUUCUGAUUACACGUUUACUUCAGCUGGUCAUAAUUUGAUAUCAAGAACUAGCCCAAAUGGAAGCUCAGACAAGGUUGAAAACUUUGAUAGCGUAUCUCCACCACAUUUAGAGAAAAAUGGUCUGGAUAUGACAAAUGCUGAUCCUUGGAAGAUAGACAUGAAAAUGAGGCUUCUCGCGAAUUAGAUUUGAGUCAGUACAUGCUCUCAUCUAUUAAGGUUAGCCCAACACCGGAAUCUGGACCUAGCAUUCCUCAGAUUCUACAUAUGGUAAGUAACUGUUGUCGCAUCUGCUAAAAGUCAGUUAUCAUUUUCUCUUCUGAUACUUUAAAGCAUGUCUGAUGAUUAUGCUUAUACAGAUCAAUGCGAGUGAUGGAAGCCCUUCUUCGAGCAAGAUAUCUGGACUCCAGCAACUAAUUGAAGCCUCUGUAGCUAACGAGGAAUCAGUUUGGACCAAGGUAUAUCUAAUGAACCCUAGUACCACUCGUCGGAGUAUUGGUCCUGACGUUUAUAACUUAUAGAGAACAAUCUUUUAAAAAACGUAGUUACCGAAUAUGUUUAAUUUACUACAUGAAAUUACUAGGCUAACAAGAUUAGGUAAGACACGAAAAAUGUGGGUUCAUAAACUUAGCUGGUGGGGGUCUUAACCUAAGAUGAAACUUAACAAGCCACGCUACGGAUUUUUUAUUGCCAUGUGGUAGCAGCUGUAUUAACUAUUUGAGGUUUUUGUUCGUUGAUUCUUUAUUCGUCUUGUAGGUCAGAGUCAGAAGCGUCUUUUGUUCAAAAUGAUUUACCAUAUUCAUUUACUUAUCAGUCCUAAUGGAAAUUCUCCUUUUUUUUUGUAUAUUCACAGUACUAAUCAAAUAUUGACGGUAGUUCUUGAAGUGGUCGAUNNNNNNNNNNNNNNNNNNNNNNNNNNNNNNNNNNNNNNNNNNNNNNNNNNNNNNNNNNNNNNNNNNNNNNNNNNNNNNNNNNNNNNNNNNNNNNNNNNNNGAAAGGCCGACACCUUAGCCAAGACAAGGCGCAUCUAUCAGAGUUUAGUUUUUGUUUGUUGUGCUAUUUUGGUCUGGAUUUCUGAACCACUUGUUGUUUGAGAAUGAUAGAAUAGCCAUUUGUGACAAAAAAGGGUAAAUAAUCCACGUAAGAUAUUUUAUAAAAUAUUUAUUAGAUAAAUCAAAAUAUUUUAAAAAUAUACAUUGUAUAAUAACAAACAAUAUGUAAAAUAUAUAUUUUUAUUUGAUCAAGUUAAAGUUAUAAAAGUAUUUAAAUUUUAUCAGUUCAAAUAUUGCACAUAUUUAUAAAAUUUUGAAAUUAAAUUAUUUAUGGAUUUCAUAUGGUAUAUAAUUAAAUUUAAAUGAUUUUAGUUUGCAUACCCACUAAAUAGACUUCUUACUCAUAUGAUUUUAUGAUCAUUUGAAUAUUUUUUAAACCAUUGCUCAUAAAACUUUAAAUAUGGAAUUUUUAAAAGUGUAGUAAUUUAUAAUCGUUUUUUAAAAAUUUAACAUAUAGCAUAUACAAAAAAAUCUAUUUUUUUAUAUGGUUGAUGUGACUGUUUUUAAUUUUAAUAGCGUAAAAUUAGACAAAAAUGAUAAAAUAUAUAGAAAUUGUAACAAAUCUUGAUAAGUCAAUAUAAUUAAUUAUCAUAUUUAUUUCAAAUAAUAUAGGGUAGUUUCAUAGCUUUUACUUAAGGAAAGAACAAUGAAUAUUUAUUUGUGAACAUUUGAAUAAUGAAUGGUCCAUCAUAUUAUAUACAAUAACAUGAUUUGUAAAUUCUCUAGUAAAUAAAGGCUUUUGAAAAGGCAUAUGGAAGUGACACAUAAUCAUAGAACCCAAUGUUACAACUUAACAAUGCUUCUCUUGUAAUAUAUAAAAGAUUUAUGAUUUUUAAAUUUUGGUACUGUAUAUUAUGUCACUCUAUAACAAUAAUGUAUGUGUCUUGUUUGACAUUAUUAAUAUAUGAUAAUUUAUUUUUAUACAUAAUUUAUUUUGUUAUUAGUCACUGUUACAUACUGAUAUAUUUUGUAACAUUUUGUUAUAAUAAAUUCAUAAUUUGAAAAAAAAUUAAAUAGAAAAACAUCCUUAAAUAUUAUUCAAUUUUUAUCAUUUGAAUUAAUUAAUAUUUUUAGUUCAUUUAAUUAUUCUAUAAAUUUAGCUAUUUGCUGAAACUUUAAGGUUCAUUGAAGAUGACGAAGAAUUCUAAGUAUGCCUCUUGGCUCGCUUAUCCGCUACACAAAAUCUUAUGUUUCCUUUUUUUACAAGGAACAUUGCACAUUUGAUAUGAUUAAAAAUUUUCUCUAUCUAAAACACAAAUCCUCUCCCCUCUUUUUAAAUUCAAGCUUUCUCCAUUACUAAACUCUCUGCUCAAGUGACACUGCAUCCUUUCUGGCGGUCGCCGGAUGCUCCUCCAUGUGCUCUCUUCUUCUCUCUACAUUUCUCUUUUCUAUCUUUGUGGUAUCUCUUUCUCGGUUUGAGUUGAAGGGUUGAGCUCAGCCGAGAUCUCGGCGUUUCAGAUCCGGCGGUUCCUAGUGCAAAUAUGGCGCAUGCACAGUGCCGUGCCUACCUUGAAAGUUGAAAGAAAAGAAACUUUCGCUUAGGACAUCAUUUUCUUAAAAAGCAUUAAAUAAGUCUUUAGUUAUGUCACAAUAUGCAAAUGCAAUAUUGGCCACAGUCAAUAUCUAUACUAUUUAAAAAGAAAGAAUUUUAUAAAAUCUACCUAUGCAAGGUUGAUGGACCCUUUCAUUUUCAGUCAACCUAUUAUAUUAGUAAAAAUUAAAAUAAUCUUACAUUUUAAUAUACCCAUGUUUCUUUCAAUCAAGUAACAAUAAAUCGUGACGUAAAUAGAGAUUGAUAUAAACGUAAUAAGGUAUAUCUCCAAUAAGGUAUAUCUCCACUUGGAUCACUUUUUAUAAACAUUUGAUAUAAGUUCAGGUUCUAAACCGUGCUGUGGUGCCCGACUAAGUGGAGAUCCACUGUGAAGAUUCUAGCCUCUUCGGCCAACAAAUCAGAUUCAACAAAAAGUUCAUUUUUAAGAGUUUUGAAUGUUAUAGAUCACAUAUUGGAAGAUAUAUCUACGAAACUGAUGCAAAAACAACAAAAAGAACUCAAAGAAUUAAUGAAUUUCAACGAAUCUAAGAUUGACGGCGGAAAAAAAAUUGCAGAAAAGAAAACCUAAAACAGUUGCAAGGAAGAUGAUAACGUAAUUACCAUUAUGCCAUUCAUUUAAUAAACGGACAAAAAAAACGUGCUCCUACUGUUUUGACAAGAGAUGAAUUGGGCUCAAACGAAACAAAACCACUGCCGGUCCAACUACACUUAGUUGUUUAUUCUCCUCAGUUUAAAUAUAUUUGUAGAUAUAUUUAUUCAAAAUUUGACAAAAUGAUUAUAAUUAAAUGUGUCCAUUGGCCACGAAAAGCAACGUCUCACCUUUACAGUGGCUCCAAAUAUGUCUCCGACAUUUUUUUUUUUUUGAAAAAUUCUCUGACAUUUUUGAAAGACAUGAAUCAAGCCUUUCAAACUGGUAUUCAUUCAUGAAAGCAGUUAAAUUCUUUUGCUGAAGAUUCUUUGAAGUCCAUAAAUACUCUUACAAAGGUAAACCAAAGGCAAAAUUAAAAAUUAUUGUAUAAACCUUAUCAUUAACUGGAAAUGCUUAAUAAAAUGAUACAGUUUCAAACUUUAUAACAUAUAUUGAAUUAAUAUGUAUUAUAGAAAAAAUAUGGUAGGUUUCUCAUGAAAAUCUAUAACAAUAAUAAGAAAACAUAGGUCCGAAGCGCGGUUUUUUUAAACUAUGAACUGUUUAAUAUGAAUUAGUAUUUGUAGAUUGUUGUACAUUAUGUUAUCUUGAAAUCUUAUUACACUAAAGCAAAUAAUUUUUUUUAAAGUAUAUAAUUUAUAAAUUAGUUUAUUUGAGUUUUUGUAUGUAAAUUUUUAUGUAACUCUUUAGGUCUGUGCAUUUUAUGUGGAUCUAGAACCACGAACCAAAACCGACUCGAAAAUAUAAGUUUGGUUCCGGUCCAGGAGAAAUGGAUGUUUCGAUUCUGGUCUGGAUCAUACCCAAGAACCGAUCAGAUACCCAAAGUACUCGAAUGUUUUGGUAUAUUAGGUAUGUGUGGAUAUUUGUAUAAGUUUUGGUAGUACAUAUAUUCUUUUAAGUUUCAGGUUUGGGUUUUUGGUUACAGUUUCAGGUUUUGGAUAAUAUUUUAAAAUUUUAAGAAUAUAUUUUUGGUAUUCACAUUAAAUUUUGGGUUUUUUUUUGUUUUUUCGGAUCAGAUUUUGGCAAAAAUACGGGCUUCACGGGUAUUUGAAUAUAUUUCAGGUAUUUAUUUUGGUUUUCAGGUAUAUGGCAAAAGAAACACAUUUUUAAUUAAAAAUUAAAAGUUCAUAUCGUUAAUACAUUUCAAUAAUGAAAAUAUAUUUUCUUAAAUACUGUAUAUCUAUUUAAACAUAAAUAUCAUAUUUAAAUCCGUUUCGAACAAAUCUCACACUUUGAAAAUAAAAUAUUAACGAAUGAUAAAAUAAUAACGAAUGAUAAAAUAAAACUCAAUUGUUAAAAUGCAAAACAAAAAAUAAUGGCAAUUCUUAAAUUAAUUAAUGAUAAAUCAAAAAUAAACUCGCAUAUUCUAAGCGCGGGUCAAAAUCUAGUUCAUAUUAUUAAUUUUCAUACACUGUUUAUUUAAAUCAAUUUAGUUAAAGUAGGGCAACUAAUAAAUAACUAACAUGCACUAUAUAUUAGCCGCAGCUAUUACUCUUACCAUUAAAUUAUACUUUUGUUUUAAAUCAACUUGGUUUAAGUGAGGCAAAUAAUAAAUAAUUUAAAAUAAUAAGGAUUUAAAUAACUAGAAGUUUACAAGUUAUCAACAUUGUCUUCUCGUAUUUUGGUAGUUAUCACUUCUAAGUAUGAUACAUUCUUUCUCAAUAUUUAAAAUUUGUAGUUAUAUUUAUUCUAUAAUAUUUUAAGUUUGUAUAGUAAUGCAAUAUUUAUUUCAUUACUAGAUAUGAGCCCGUGCGUUGCAACGGGUUUUGUUGGGUGCUUUAAUUUAAUAAAGAAAUAAAUCAUUUUAUUAUACUUUUACGAUUAUUUUUGCAUAUGUUGUGUAAGAGUUAUUUUAUAAUUAAGAACUCGUUUUUACACAUAAAUUCUAGUUAAUGUUUGUAUUUUAUAAUCAUAGUGCAUAAGUGAAUUUUUUUUAUCAAUUUUCUACUUAGUGCUAUAGAAAACACUCAUACCUAUAACUUUAAACCCAACCUGAAUUAAAAAUUAAAAAAAAAAUUUGAAAGUUAAAUAAGCCCAAUCAAGUCAAUGACAACAUCAUACACUUUCUUAUUUAAUAAUUUAAUAUUUUAUUAAACUUAUUUGAUGCUUAAUAAUUUUUUUAAUUCAUUAUUUCUUAAUGAUAUAUUUCCAUAACAACAUUUUAAUUAAAAAUGAAGUAAAAAAAUAUUACAUGGUAAAAACAAAAUGUAAUAAGAUGGCGAUUAAACUUGAUUUUUUUAACAAAAUGCAUAUAAAAAUCACUUUUGUGAAAAUGAUAAUAAUCUAUUUCUUAUGACCAAACAUGAAAAUAUAUAUCAGACAUGUGUAUAAUUUUCGUAUGACCAAACAUAUAUAAAUAGCAAUCAUGAGGACAUCCUAAUUUUUUUAUUUUUGUUAAUUAAAUAGUUUUAACAUCAUACUUGUCAUCAAAUUCUUUUUUUUUUAAUUAUUAAUACAUAAUUUUACAAUUUAUUUUUGUUUAGAUUAUUUUUUAAAAGGGAUCCUAUUCAUUUACAAUCAAAUAUAUAUAUAUAUAUAUAUCAAAUACUCUUUUACAUUUUUGUUUAGGCUUUUAGGAAAGGAAAAUUACUAUCAUAUAACCUUUUACAACUGUCUUCUUUUUAAAAUUUUAGAAAAAUUAAAUUGUUAUAAAUUAUUAUUUCUAGUUACUAUUAAAUAAGUUAUAAAAAUACUAUUUAUACAAUUCGUAUCUAAACUAAUUUUACACAGAUGGAGUAAUUUUUUAGUAUCAUGUUCAUUAUCAAAUUCUCUCUUAAAAACAUAACCAAAUAAAUUUUUACAAUUUUAUUUUCGUUAGAACUUAAAAAUAUGAUACAAAACUCUUAUGUUUAAGAUUUUUUUAAAAUAUAUCAAAUAUUCUGUUAUAGUUUAUAGGGCUUUAGAAAAGGAAAUUAAUAUUAAAUAACAUUUUAAAAUUUAAUUUUGUUUGGGAUUUUAAAUGAAAAUUACUAACAAAUAAUUAUUUCUAGUUGUGAAAUAUUUGUAACUGUUUUUUGGUUUAUAAUUUUUUAACAUACAAUUAUCUAUAAAAAGGAAAGUUUGUUAUUUAUAGUAAAAUAAUAGUAAUACUUUUACAAUUUUAUCUUGUUUAGGAUUUAAAAAUAAAUAAAUAUUACUUAUUUUAUAGUUAGUUUUACUUUAUGAUAUUUAUUAAAUAAUUUCUUGUACGUGUAGGAUUUUGAUAAUUCCUUUUUUUAGAUUUUUUUAGUUAAUACUUUUCUCUUACAAUUUUCUUUCUUUGUUGUCUUUAAAAACGAAAAUUAUAACUUUUUCAAACAAAAAAUAAAUUUAAUUUCAAAUAAUCUAUUACAAUUAUUUACUUUUUUAGGAUUAAAAAAAAUAAAAAUUACUAUCCCAUAAUUUUAACAAUAUAUAAUUGUAAAAGACUAUGUAAUAUUAAUUUUUAUUUUCCAAAAUCUUAAAAAGAACUGUAACAACUAAUUUUGUAAUAAUAUAUCAUAUUUUUAAAUCAUAAAGAAAAAAAUAUUAUAUUUUUGACACUUAUCACAAUCUUAAAAGGUUUAUUGACACAUGUCGCGAUCAUGUUAAUUAACAACUUUGAAGAAUCAAGUUUUAUAUAAUAAGAUUCAAGUUUGUAUCAUCGUUUGAAUAUAUCAAUUAAGACACUUGAUUAUUUUAUCUAUACAAAAUAAUUAUGAAAACUAUUUAAGAAUAUUUCUUUUUACAAAAUGUGGUUAUGUUUUUCUAGGACGAAUAUAAAAAUGUUAUAGUGAUUCUGUCUUUUUGUCAAUAAAGAUACUAUUUAUUAGUUUAGAUGCAUUUCUAUUAAAUGAUUUUAUUUUUGUAUUCGCUUCGGGCAAUUAUAAAGGCUCGUACGACUCUGAAGGGAACUCGAACUCAGAACAUGAAUUACUAGGGUGCAACAUAACCAAAUAUGCCACUUUCUCAACUAUGUACAAUGUAAAACGUUAAAUACGUAAAUAAGCAUGGAUGUGCACGUGCACACAUGCUCCUUAAGCUAGCUUCGCCCCUGCAUGCACGGCGGUCCAGCUAGGGCUUGAGAACAGACUCUGCCUCCUCCGUGUCUUUUUCCGGUUUGCUGAGGGAUCUCUAUCCGGGGAUUUUUCCAUGUCUCUGGCUGUGUCUCUUAGAGUUUUGGUGGUGUGUGAGUCAUUGAAUAAUCCCCCUUGGUUCAUCGGUGCAGUGUGACAAGUGUCUAUGUGAUAGCGCUUCUAGGGGAGGGAUUGGAGCUUGUGGGUUUUUGGAUCUCUUUCUUCUCUGCUCCUCUUUCGUGGUUUCAGUGGUCUUUGGAAGUAGCACCUGAAGUGAUUGCUCGGGUGGAUCGUUGUCUCGCCUUAGGGUUUCUCUCCGGUGGUGACAUGUGGUGCUGAUGUCUCCUCCAAUCGCUUCAAUCUAUCUAAUGGCGUGUGGAGUGCUUGACUUCUCUUCGGAGGUGGUGUGGGUUCGACGAGGUGGCGUUUCUUGCUGCGUCUCUCUCUCCUUCUGUCAUCUUCGAUGGAUUGAGUGCAGUUAAACGAAAAUUUUUGGCUUUAAUUUGAAAGUUAAGGGUUUAAAUAGUUGUUUUCUCGAAAAACAUUAAUUGCAUAUUCGAUAUGAAAAUAAUCUAGUGUACUCUUGUUACAUAAAAAGUAAUCUCGCCAUUCUUCUUUUUUCUUAACAACAUCUCACUAUUCUUCCUUAUUCUGAAUUUAAUCCUCCAUUACAAUUGUAGGUAGCGGUUGUGGAGAUAACUACUAGGAGAUGACGUAGUGGGGGAAUCCAUAUCUUACCAUCACCGAGAAGAAUGGAAAUCAGGAACCAAAGCCCGCCGGUUAGACGGAAAAUUAACCAUUGAAGCGCUAGGGUUCCAAUCGCUUUUUUUGUCGCACUUUUUCGUCUCCUUAAAUGUAAAUUUUGCAGGUUAAAAAUGUUUUAUUUUAAUUAUUCUUAGUUUAUUAAAGUUAUUUUGUAAAAUUUUAGAUAUAUAUAUAUUAUAGAUAUAUAUAAUAGAUAUAUAUAAUAGAUUUCGACUAAAUUUAAUAGAAUUUGAGUAUUUUGUGUGUUUUUUCAGAUCCUACCCGACCCGGACUGAUAAGGAUCCAAAAAUUACGUGUAUUUUACAAGUAUUUUAAUUAUAGAUCUGAACCGACCCAGAUCUGAGAAGCACCGACCUGAACCCGAAUCGAAAAUUUACAAAUACCUAUUUGGUCUAAAUGUCUAUGACUGGAAGGACCCGAACCCAAGAAGAACCGGUCCUAACCCAACCCGAAGACGCGAACACCCAGGACUAUAGCUCGUUGUUUCAUAAACCAAACAAAGCAUUUCUAGACCUAUGAUCGAAUAAUAGAGAAAAUUAUUAUCACUCUGACUGAAGGAAAAAUCAAGUUGAGAAAGACAACAAAGCCAGUUGUUUAUAAUGGUAUAUAGAAGCUUUAUGCUAAACAUUGCCGUCUCAACACCCCCAGUUUUGCUUAUAGUUGGUUUAUCUGAAGAGAAUAGUAAAAAAAAAAAAACUAAAACUUAAAGAGUGCAAGGUUAAUCCAUCUAGCAAGAUAAAACUACUUUUCUUCUACUGUUUCAGGAACUGAAAAAUCAAAAGAGAGAUUGAGUAUUAAAAAUAAUCAUAGAACCAAAUUUUUUUUUCUCAUUUUAUGAUAAUCAGCUUGUGACAUAUUACCAUGGCGAUGCCAUCAGACACCAUAAGAUGAUACAUGCCUUCAGCAACUCCAGAGUAAAGAUUUGCCUCCUUUGCACCACAUCCUGAUGAAAAUGGCACAUCAAUCGAUUAACUAGAAACAUUCUACUGCGCCCGUUGUUCAUCAUUACAGACAGAAAAACAAAAGGAAGUUGAAUUGUAAAACUAAGACAGAGAUACAAACAAAUUCCACGAAAGAAAAAGAAAACAAGAAACCUUAAGUGAAGGAACAAAGAGGAAGAUGAAACGAAGUCGGUAACAUCCUGGAUUAGCCACAAGUCGUGCAUUUUUUUAUGUCCUCCCUCAGAACCCAUACACAACUUCUUUCUGAAACCAUCAUGACAACAGGUAAAGCACAAGCAACAUGAACACAACAUACCCAAAAUCAAGUAAAUAACUUUUGAGAGUGAAGUUACCUGUAACUAUGCUGCUUUGUGUGAGAAGACACCGAAAUGCGGAUAUCAUUGAGAAGCAGAUUCAUAACUUUUGAGCUCUCAGGUGCGGGGAGGGAAGAUGUUUUCCAUUGACUGGCCAGCUUUUCUAUCAGCAGUCAUGAGAGCGAGGGAAGACACCGAAAUGCGGAUGAUUUGCAAGAAGCCAUACGAUCUGCUGCCAUUCAAUUGAAAAAGGGGAUUCCAAGUCUAUCAUUUGUUAAAAUUUGGUAAUGUAUUUGGAAACAAAACUAACAUUAUUUUUUAAUGUAAUGCUAAAGAACCUUUAAAGCGAUGACUAUAAGGUAUUUCAUUUCCUAUAUUCAUGAGACUAUUGACCAAGGCAAGUACCAGUACCAGCACCACCUUUUGCCGGAGGGAAGAAGCUUGCUACACUUUUUCACUCCUUAAGCUAAAUGAGAAGGCCAAUGCCCAAAAAGCUACAUACUUGCAACAAUGAUGCAUACCAAUAAUAUGCUCUGAUCCAUUACAAAAAGCCAACGAGUCUGAAAAAAAAAGAACUUGAAAUAUGUAAACAACAACUGAGCUAAAAAAGAAACGAAACUGCGUUUUCAUUUAGCAAACACUGAGCUCAAACUCCGACGCAGCACAACUGAUUCUUGGUUUCGAUUCAAACACACAAAAUCGGAGUAGUACCAAUUCACAACACAAGAGAACAAAAAAAAAAUAAAGACCUUUUGCUUUUAGAUAUCGUUAGAGCAUCUCCAAUAGUGGUAACACCAUUGGAGUCCUUAGCAUUAUUUUAGUAAUUUUUUUUUUAAUAGUUAAGAAUUCUAAUAAAAAAUGUUUGUCCAAUACUAUAUCUAAUUAGGAGUGUUUAGGUAUAAUCUUGUCCCAUGUUUCCUUAACCUGAAAGAGAUUUACAAGAUAGAAAUUAGACACUAAAAGUAAUCAACUUGUUCUCCUAUACAAUCGAACUUGUUCUCCUAUACAUUCACAACACUAAAGAAUCUGACUUAUAAACAGUCUGAAAAGAAUCUGAAACCGUAAAGAAUUCACAACAUUAAAGAAUUUACAGAGCACACAGUAGUAAUACUAAUCUAUGAGAAGAAGAUAGUACUUCUGGGUAAACAAUCUAAAGAACACAACACUCCAAUCGUAAUGAAUCACAUAGUCGAAAUCUUAACAACACAACACAACCCUCUUUGAACUACAAACAAAAAUCGUUUUCAAACACUAACUACAAACGAAGACUUUCCCAAAUCAAUUCAAACACAAAUCGUUUUGAAACCCUAAUAGAUUGACUCUUUCAAAAUAAGAGAAGAAGAUAAUCCCAAAUCACAUGAAACCAAGAUCGUUUUCAAACAUUAAUGUACCUAUGUCCACAAAUUUUCAAACUAAGCAGGUUUAAGAAUCAUGGUUAGAGUUUAAAAAGAAUUACUAAUCAGAUUUAAGAAUCAUGGUUAGAGUUAAAAAAAAUUACUAAUCAGGUUUAAGAAUCAUGGUUAGAGUUAAAAAAAAAUUAAUAAUUUCAAACCAAUGAGACAGCGCCAACACAUUAAGGACUUCAUCCUUUUAAUCCUUAGUUAAGGAUUCAUUCUUAACUUUUUUUAACUGUGCACCAUUUUUUAAUGUUUGUUUAAUGAUAAAGUGCUAAGGAUUAUAGCUAAGGAUUUGCUAUAAUCCACCAUUGUACAUGCUCUUAGUAAUGGAAAAAGAAAUAUGGACUUUAGAAUUUUUUUUUUUUUUUGAAACCCGAGCUUCGAUCGCAUUCUCCGGAGGAAAAUCGAUUUGCAAACUAUAUCUAUUUUAUUGAAAACUCCAUAAAACCUUUGGAGCGUCACGGAUCAUUUUAGCGAUUGCGGUUACUUCAGACGGCGUUUGGGGGGGGGGGGGGGAAAUUGUGGCAUUAUGGUAAUUAUGUAUCGAAAGAUAUGGUAUACUUGUCAAUUCCUUGUGUAAACGGCUCUAUGCGUAGAAAGAGAGAGAGAGAGAUGUAUAAAAUCAUCAUCAAAUCUAUCAAAUGUCAAAUAAAAAAAAGAUGCAACCUUUCUUCUUCUCUGUGUUGUCAAAUCACAUCAAGAGCUCUCUUUCUUCGUCAUCAUCAUGAAAACUCUCUGCAUAAAACUGUUUGCACUGGUGGUGUGAGAGUGCUGCUAGAGAUAGUUUAAAGAUGCAACCUUUUUGCUUAUCAUCAUCAUCUUCAUCAUCAUCAUCAUCACUGUAGUCUCUUUUAGUUUUUCUCUAUAAACAAACAGUCCUUCAACUUCAAGGGUUGUGUUGCUUUUGGAAGAAAGAUGAUAACUUCGCAGAGGUCAGUGAUCGCUCUUCCGGCUCGGCUCGAAACCGUUUUGGAGAAAAUAUACAGCAAACACAAAUGUCCUCCCAUAAACGACGACUCAAGGCAGAGACUUUCUUCGAUCCCUGAGGAUCUAGCUUUCGAUUUGCUCAGGAAAGCUUUUAAUUCUCCGGGAACGUCCAGCCUCGACCGCUUCAUCGCCUCUAAGCUUACUAGCUCGUAUCCUCCUCCUGGUUCCUCUCGAAGCAGAGUUUCUCAAGGUCAGUCAGUUUCUAUCCGAACAAAAAAAGGCAAGCAGAGUCUUUGUAUUUGACUGUGGUUUUGUUGCUCUGAUUGUAGAAGAGAUACCUGUUGAUUAUGAAGCUCCUUCUUUGAGAAGACGACAAGUCAAUGGAGGAUCUUCUCUUCACAUUCCUCCUCCUCAGCUCUUACUAGCUUUGAGUGAACUUGAAUUCAACAAGGCCUUUCUCUUGCUUACCUACAUUCCUCGGUAUGUUUAUGCCUCCUAAGUUUUCUACUUUUCACUUAAGUUGGUUCUGGUAGAAACUACCCUUUUAAUGAUAAUAUUUUUUGAUGUUAAACAGGAAAGAUCUGGGUCAGGUUGAAAUAACUGCUGAAGAGAUUAGAGGAUGGAAGGAUCUGUCUAUGGUUGCAUUUGAAGCUGCGGUUUGGGACAGUUUGGGAAUUAAAUUUUGUUCCCCAACAGACCGUAGAUUGGUAUUUUUGUCUGUUUCCUCUAUUUGUACUAUUUGGGUCUUUAUAUGCUUCCUUUGUUUCUGCAGUCACUGGAAUGUGAUAAUGAGAAGACUAGCUACUACCAAUGUCAUGUUGCUUCGGAUGGCAGUUACACAUUCAAGGUGUGUUGCAUGUCUACUUUUCUGUUAAAGCAAUUAUUUUUGCAAGUUGCUAUCUUAUGUCUAUUCCACAUUUCUUGGUAUCUACUUAUACUAAUGGAGACACUUUUUUCACAGGGCCCUCUUAUUGAGCCCACUGGAACACACCUGCACAAGGUCUUGGGUGAUGCUAAUGUGUUGACUGUCAAGUUUGAGGAUGUCCCGAGAAACUCAUCAACCGAUCGUUACACUACAUACAGAAGGAUUGCCAAGAAUGGUAUCAUGCUUGGGUUACGUCGUUAUCAAUUUUUUGGUGGGUCUAUUUUCUCUUUAUCAUUCAUGUCAACACUUUUUCACUAUUUUAAAAUAUUAUUUAUUUGGAGCUUGUUAUUAUAACACUCUGUUGAACAGUUUUCAAAGAUGGUGGUGCUGUUCGUUUGGUUGCCGCAGGUACCGGCGGCAGCGGCAGCGUCAACAUUCGGCGUCAACUCUUGUUCGUUUCGUUGACGCAGGCAGCUGCGUCUGACGCUGCGUUCGAACGCCGCGUCCUGCGGCUGACGCCGAUAAAACCAGCGGUCGCGACAUAAAACCUGCGGCCAAUAAGGUAAUUUACUAUUUUACCCUUACUAUGUUUUAGUAUUUACAAAAAAACCUAAACCUAAAUUUGACGCAGUCGGGGAAAGUUUGACGCAGCUCCAUCUCUAUCUUUCUCUCUCGAUCUCCAUUCUAGAACCAGUGAAGACCUCGAGAGCUCUCUCCAUCUCGUGCUCUCUCCAUCUCAAGCUCUCUCUCUAUCUCGAGCUCCCUCUCUCUCUCUCCAUCUCGAGCUCUCUUCAUCUCGGGCUCUCUCUCCGUCACGAGCUGUCUCCAUCUCAGGCUCUCUGGCUCUCUCUCCGUCACGAUCUGUCUCCAUCUCGGGCUGUCUCUCUUCUCCGAAGAAAACCCAUCUCCGAUCUCAUCUCGAAGCUCUCUUCUCCGAGCUCAUCUCAUCUCCAAGCUCUCUCUUCUCCUUUUCUCGUUGAGGUACGUUUGAUGCUAGUGAAAUAGAGUUUCAACAUUCUGAUUAUUGAAUCUCUGAUGAUUGUUUGAUUCCAUUGCUGUAACUAGGAAUCAUAGUGAAAUAGGCCUAGCUGUAACUCCCUUUCUUUGCCUUCAUGGUUCCAUUGCUGGUCUGUUCUUUUAAUAUAAACGAUGGGUUGUCUUCUGAGUGUAGCUUUUGGGGUUUCUAAAUUUAAAGUGCAGGCUACAAAAACAUCCUAUUGUAGUUAGUACGUAUUGGUUUACGAGUCUGCACUCAUGGGGAAGCUUAAAGGGUUGCUUCUUGGUAUUAAAUUGUUUUAAGAAGUUAACAUAUGUCGAGUCAAGUAGAAGUUAAAUUGUUUCUGUUUCCUGGAACAUUGUUGGAACGUUGUUUGGUUUUAUUUGGAGAAAGUAGACGGCUUGACUUGAUUUUUCAUUUUUUUUAAUAAUUUGUGUGUGUUUAGAGAACACUCAACGUAUGCUUCAAACUGUGGAUUGUGAAUGAUUUUUAUUUAUGCUUUUCUUCCAUAUUUGUUUAAAAUUUAUAAAGUAUUUAUUGAUCAUAAGAUCUUAUGUGUUUUGAUUCAUUGAUCAUAAGCUCCAUUUCUCUGCAUCUUUUUGCAGGCUCUCUCAUCUCAGGCUUGCUCAGACCUAGUGGAAAAGGUGACUAACAAGUGCAAAUAUAUUUUACUACUUGUUCCAAAACGUGAACACAUUGCUUAUUCUCUUUUUUUUUUUUUUGCAGACUCAGAUCUUCUCAAGCUCACUCUCUCAAGCUCAGACCCUCUCAAACUCACUCUCUACCGCUGUUCCUCUCACUUCUUAAGAUGUCGACGUCAAAAGAUGUAAGUUUCUCUCACACUAGUCUUAAUGCUUGUAUGGAACUGUCUUUAGGUUGUAUGGAACUGUCUUUAGGCUGUAUGGAACUGUCUUUAGGUCUUUUAGGUCGUAUGCUUAAGGGUCUGUGUCUUGCUUUGGUGUGUUUUAGAAUUGGAAACCUGAGGAAACUAGGUAUUUUUUCCAACUCUACGCGGAAGAGAGAAGAAAAGGAAAUAAGGUUGGUCAGCAAAUGAAUAAAGUAGGAAAAAAUAACAUCAUGGAUGCAUUUGAGCUGAGGUUUAAGAAGGGAUUUUCCGAUUGGAAGAGAGACUACAAGAACAAGUACGACAGCAGCAGAAAAAAAUACAUCAGGAUUAAGAUGCUGACUCAGAACAGGACAGGGCUUGGGUAUGAUGACAUGGGAAGGAUCGACAUGUCAGAUGAUUGGUGGAAAGAGCGCGAAAGGGUCAGUUUCUCAUUUUCUCUUUUGUGAACUUAGCUGUUAAAAUGUACUUGUGUUGAAAUAAUUGAGCUUAUUAGAAGUUUGUGACUGAUUCUAUCACUGAUUUUAUCACUGACUUACUCUUUCUGUGUUAUAUAGGAGUGUCCAGGAAUUAGAAAAGCCUUCUGCAAAGAAAUUGAUAACAUGGAUAUGUUUGAAGCAGAAUUUGGUGGUGUAGUAGUUACUGGAGCAGAAGGUUGGAGUGCUCAACAUGGAGAAGCAAGCUUGAAUUCGAGAGUUGGUGGAGAUAUUGCUGAGGAUGAAGCUGAUUCUCAGCCAGCAGCGGAGACAGAAACCCAGGGCCAAGCUCCUCGCCAAACUCAACCAGCGGCUCAGACUCAUUCUGGAGGUUCAAGAGCAAAACGAAGGCGUAAGGAGAAAGAUGUGGCUGUGGAGGCUUGUGAAAAAAGGACUGCUGCUCUUGAAGUGAAGAAUAUGCUAGCAAAACAAUUGAUGGAGCGUGAACAACCAUUCAGUGUUGAGACCGUAUUGGAGAUGUUGUAUGCUCUCCCUGAAGUGAGAGAGUGGUCGCCUUUAUAUGAAGCAUCGAUUGAGCUUCUGAUAGAUAGUGAAGGGAGCCGAAGGGGAUUCAUAACGAUGAAGACAGAUGAAGCGAAGACUAAGUUUCUGGAGCUUAGGACCAAGAUAAAACGUGAUGAGUGACUAGUUAGUGAAUUGGAACUAGUAGAUUCACUAGUUUAUGUUGAGUAGGAACUUAAGUUUGGUACUGCUUUAUGUUAUGAAACUUAAGUAGUGGAUUCCUUUCAUCACGCUGAGCAGAAACUUUGGUACUUUUUUAUGUUGUGUCUUGUCUUUUUUUUUGUUAAUAACAGGAUCAACUUUAUUGCUGUGUAAUAACAAUGUUGUGUCUUGUCUUUUUUUGUUAAUAACAGGUCUGAUCUUGAGUUUUUAAACCUCAAAGAGUCGUUUAAAUAUUGUUUCUUAUUUCUAUCUUGAACAUUUAUUUACUUGAAUUUGUGCAGUGGCUGUUACUGAACUUAUUUAGACUAAUGAUGAUUUAUUCAAUAUGGUUUUGUAGAUGCUUGAAAGAUGGAUGUUGGAAGAUGAAGAUGGUGAUUACGAUGAUGAACUUGGUUUGUUUUCCACAUGAUACCAAAGUCUUGACUCAUUGUGCGAGAAACGAGGCUUCUUUUCCACAUCCUCCUCCCGGAAAGUAUUAUUUAGUUGACUCCGGAUAUCCGACCAGGACAGGGUAUCUUGGUCCGCAUCGUAAUAUGCGAUAUCAUCUUAGUCAGUUUGCUACAGGAGGACCACCAGUUAGUGCAAGAGAGUUAUUCAACCGAAAGCAUUCAGGUCUGCGAUCAGUGAUUGAGAGAACAUUUGGAGUAUGGAAAGCAAAAUGGAGGAUUUUGGAUCGUAAGCAUCCAAAAUAUGGUCUGGUCAAGUGGAUUAAGUUGGUGACAGCGACGAUGGCGCUACACAACUUCAUACGUGAUUCACAUCGGGAUGACAGGUGAUAGAGCGAUGGAAGAUUUGCGUGAUAACAUCACAAAUGAAUAUGGUAGAGGUCGUUUACCGUAUUAAAUGUUUUAGUUGAUGAUUUAAUUUUUUUUUUGCUUAUAACUUUGAUUGUCAUUUAAAUGUGAUAUUUAUUUAAGACUUGAUGUAAUAUUUAGCUUUUGUUUAUGAUAAAUAUUUUGAAUUAUUAUUUUGUUUCUAAUUUAGCUUAUGAUGUAUGAAAAAAAAUUGUUACAUUUGUAUAAUUUACAUUUGUAUAAUUGACCAAAAAAUUAUUAUCAAGUAAACAUAAUAUUUUAAUGGAUGUAAAUAUAUUUAAACUACACUUGAUUUAUUUAAAUACAAUUUUAUAAAAAAAUUAAAAUAAAUCUGAAAAAAUGAAAAUAGCCGCUGCGUCUGUCAAACGAACAACCCAAAAAUCUGCUUCCUGCGGCAGCGUCGGCGUCGAUCUCAACUUCUUGCGUCUUCUAAACGAACAAUAAUCUGCGGCAGCGGCAGCGGCAGCGUCGGCGUCAGCGUCUGCGAAACGAACAACAACUGUCUUCAUUGACGCUGCCGCUGCCGCCGACGCUGCCGCUGCCGCUGCCGCCGAAACCUGCGGCAACCAAACGAACAGGGCUUUACUCAAAAGUUUUUCAUAUAGGAAAUGCAGAUCCAGUGAGCCCUUAAGGAAAGGC
This 29255-nucleotide long non-coding RNA is filed under the name Brassica rapa (field mustard). RNAcentral describes it as "long non-coding RNA (BRAP_LNC004784)". Lineage: Eukaryota; Viridiplantae; Streptophyta; Magnoliopsida; Brassicales; Brassicaceae. The record is from RNAcentral.